CGCACAUUGCGCCCUUUGGUAUUCCAAAGGGCAUGCCUGUUCGAGCGUCAUUUGUACCCUCAAGCUUUGCUUGGUGUUGGGCGUUUUGUCUUUGCUCGCCAAAGACUCGCCUUAAAACGAUUGGCAGCCGACCUCUUGGUUUCGCAGCGCAGCACAAUUUUGCGCUUGCAAAUCAGCAAGUUGGCACUCCAUCAAGAACAUUUUCUUACGUUUGACCUCGGAUCAGGUAGGGAUACCCGCUGAACUUAA
Molecule: unclassified non-coding RNA, 249 nt
Filed under: Curvularia sorghina
Lineage: Eukaryota; Fungi; Ascomycota; Dothideomycetes; Pleosporales; Pleosporaceae
Description: partial contains 5.8S ribosomal RNA, internal transcribed spacer 2, and large subunit ribosomal RNA
Source: RNAcentral